RNAcentral lists this unclassified non-coding RNA (391 nucleotides) under soil metagenome. RNAcentral describes it as "partial contains 5.8S ribosomal RNA, internal transcribed spacer 2, and large subunit ribosomal RNA". The stretch from base 1 to 122 matches the Rfam family "5.8S ribosomal RNA", at positions 35 to 154 of the family's 154-position model. The record is from RNAcentral.
GAUGAAGAACGCAGCGAAAUGCGAUACUUGGUGUGAAUUGCAGAAUCCCGUGAACCAUCGAGUCUUUGAACGCAAGUUGCGCCCGAAGCCACUAGGCCGAGGGCACGCCUGCCUGGGCGUCAAACGCCGUUGCCCCCCCAUCUACUCCUUCGGGAUUGCGGGGGGGCGGAUGAUGGCCUCCCGUGCGCCUAGCCGCGCGGUUGGCAUAAAUACCAAGUCCUCGGCGACGCACGCCACGACAAUCGGUGGUUGCGAAACCUCGGUUGCCCGUCGUGUGCGUUCGUCGCGCAUCGAGGGCUCGAAAAAAUGCUCGGCUCCGGCUGGGCUUUCAACGCGACCCCAGGUCAGGCGGGGUUACCCGCUGAAUUUAAGCAUAUCAAUAAGCGGAGGA